AGUAGGAGUAGAUCAAGAAACCUAAAAUUUUUGGCGGUUUUCUAGGCUGGUUAGAGGAAUCUGCUUUUUAAUGGAUGGUCCUCCUUAGAUUUUACUUUUUUUUUAAAUAUCGCCGUCGACGACAGGUCAAGGUUUAGUAUAUGGAAGAGGUUGAAAUUGGAUUUAAGUGUUGAUAGUGGAGAGUUGAGCUCUGGGGAGUGU
This 201-nucleotide ribosomal RNA is filed under the name Charinus aguayoi. Its description in RNAcentral is "partial small subunit ribosomal RNA". The record is from RNAcentral. Lineage: Eukaryota; Metazoa; Arthropoda; Arachnida; Amblypygi; Charinidae.